RNAcentral lists this ribosomal RNA (425 nucleotides) under uncultured bacterium. Its description in RNAcentral is "partial 16S ribosomal RNA". It matches the Rfam family "Bacterial small subunit ribosomal RNA", at positions 354 to 796 of the family's 1533-position model. The record is from RNAcentral.
GUGGGGAAUCUUAGACAAUGGGCGCAAGCCUGAUCUAGCCAUGCCGCGUGAGCGAUGAAGGCCUUAGGGUUGUAAAGCUCUUUCGUGGGGGAAGAUAAUGACUGUACCCCAAGAAGAAGCCCCGGCUAACUCCGUGCCAGCAGCCGCGGUAAUACGGAGGGGGCUAGCGUUGUUCGGCAUUACUGGGCGUAAAGCGCACGUAGGCGGACUGGAAAGUCAGGGGUGAAAUCCCGGGGCUCAACCCCGGAACUGCCUUUGAAACUCCCAGUCUUGAGUUCGAGAGAGGUGAGUGGAAUUCCGAGUGUAGAGGUGAAAUUCGUAGAUAUUCGGAGGAACACCAGUGGCGAAGGCGGCUCACUGGCUCGAUACUGACGCUGAGGUGCGAAAGCGUGGGGAGCAAACAGGAUUAGAAACCCUGGUAGUCC